CCUACGGGAGGCAGCAGUGAGGAAUAUUGGUCAAUGGGCGGGAGCCUGAACCAGCCAAGCCGCGUGAAGGAAGAAGGUACAGCGUAUCGUAAACCGCUUUUGUCAAGGGACAAAGGCGGGGACGAGUAUCCGGCUGAGGGUACCUGAAGAAAAAGCAUCGGCUAACUCCGUGCCAGCAGCCGCGGUAAUACGGAGGAUGCAAGCGUUAUCCGGAUUUAUUGGGUUUAAAGGGUGCGCAGGCGGCUUGUUAAGUCAGCGGUAAAAGCCCGGGGCUCAACCCCGGCGAGCCGUUGAAACUGGCGGGCUGGAGUUGGAGUGCGGUACGCGGAAUGCGCGGUGUAGCGGUGAAAUGCUUAGAGAUCGCGCAGAACCCCGAUUGCGAAGGCAGCGUACCGGCUCCACACUGACGUUGAGGCACGAAAGCGUGGGUAUCGAACAGGAUUAGAUACCCCAGUAGUC
RNAcentral lists this ribosomal RNA (459 nucleotides) under uncultured bacterium. RNAcentral's name for it is "partial 16S ribosomal RNA". It matches the Rfam family "Bacterial small subunit ribosomal RNA", at positions 338 to 795 of the family's 1533-position model. The record is from RNAcentral.